Molecule: ribosomal RNA, 254 nt
Filed under: uncultured bacterium
Lineage: Bacteria
Description: partial 16S ribosomal RNA
Rfam family: Bacterial small subunit ribosomal RNA
Source: RNAcentral
CACGUAGGGUGCGAGCGUUGUUCGGAAUCACUGGGCGUAAAGGGCGCGUAGGCGGCCCGCACAAGUCUGCGGUGAAAACCCCCGGCUUAACCGGGGGCCGGCCGUGGAAACUGUCGGGCUGGAGGCUGGGAGAGGGCAGCGGAAUUCCCGGUGUAGCGGUGAAAUGCGUAGAGAUCGGGAGGAACACCGGCGGCGAAGGCGGCUGCCUGGACCAGUCCUGACGCUGAGGCGCGAAAGCUAGGGGAGCAAACAGG